GCUGGCGGCUAGCCUAACACAUGCAAGUCGAACGGCAGCGCGGGCUUCGGCCUGCCGGCGAGUGCGGACGGGUGAGUAAUGCUUGGGAAUCUGCCCAGUAGUGGGGGACAACACGGCGAAAGCCGUGCUAAUACCGCAUACAUCCUACGGGAGAAAGCGGGGGAUCUUCGGACCUCGCGCUAUUGGAUGAGCCCAAGUCGGAUUAGCUAGUUGGUAGGGUAACGGCCUACCAAGGCAACGUACCGUAGCUGGUCUGAGAGGACGAUCAGCCACACCGGAACUGAGACACGGUCCGGACUCCUACGGGAGGCAGCAGUGGGGAAUAUUGGACAAUGGGCGAAAGCCUGAUCCAGCAAUGCCGCGUGUGUGAGUAAGGCCUUCGGGUUGUAAAGCACUGUCGGGAGGGACGAAAAAUUCGGGGUAACGCCCGGACUUGACGGUACCUCCAAAGGAAGCACCGGCUAACUCUGUGCCAGCCGCCGCGGUAAUUCGGGC
RNAcentral lists this ribosomal RNA (495 nucleotides) under uncultured bacterium. Its description in RNAcentral is "bacterial SSU rRNA". It matches the Rfam family "Bacterial small subunit ribosomal RNA", at positions 35 to 530 of the family's 1533-position model. The record is from RNAcentral.